UUUUUCCUUUUUUUUUUUUUCCCGGGGAGUCGGCCUCGGGGCUCUGCUCUCCUACCUCAGUCUGCCCUACCCUGGAAUGGGGAAAAUGCGGACAUGCCACUCAGUCCGGCCGCGAACAGUGCUCCAGAACUCAGAGAGUUUUCCAGACGGGUGGAGAUCGCGUUCCCUGCCCGCCGAGGUCCCAUCGCUUCCCUGCUGGGAAGACAAAUGAGGCGCUUUAGCCGUCUCCACGGCCAGCCCCUCCCUCAUAACCCGAGAUUCUUUGUGGGCUCUUAGUCCAUAGCUGCCUUUGAGGUGGUGUAGACCUUGCUAACCAGGACGGCCCAGUAGGCAGAGCUCAUUUUUAUUCCUGUCUGCAAUCGUGCAAAAACGCCUCUUAUGGAAAAGCCAGAGCGCCAGGAGUCAGCAAAACACACUAAAGAUUGGGCAGUCACUGGGGAGAACAUGGCCUGAAGCAACUGAAGAUCCACAAAAGAAGUGAAAAUAGCCUUAACUGAUGACAUUCCACCAUUGAGAUUUGUUCCUGCCCCACCCUAACUGAUACGAUAUAUUCUCCCCCGCCCUUAAGAAGACUCAGCCCGCCUGCACCCAGGUGAAAUAUACAGCCUUGUUGCUCACACAAAGCCUGUUUGGUGGUUUCUUCACACGGAUGCAUGUGACAUUUGGUGCUGAAGACCCAGGACAGGAGGACUCCUUUGGGAGACCAGUGCCCUGUUGUCGCCCUCACUCCGUGAGGAGAUCCACCUAUGAUCUCAGGUCCUCAGACCAACCAGCCCAAGGAACAUCUUGCCAAUUUCAAAUCGGGUUGUCAGAAUCUGCAGAGAAGCUUCCUCCAAUCUCCAGCCUGAGAGUUCAGGCCUGGUUACCAGCAUUCUAGAAGCUGAAAGAGGAGAAGUUCUUGGAAGACUAAGAAGUCCAACAUUCGAUGGCACACAAGGAGAUUAUAUCCCGCACCUGGCUUGGAGGAUCCUACGCCCAUGGAGCCUCGCUCAUUGGUGGCACAGCAGUCUGAGAUCAAACUGCAAGGUGGCAGCGAGGCUGGGGGCAGGGCGCCCACCAUUGCCGAGGCUUGAGUAGGUAAACAAAGCACCCGGGAAGCUCGAACUGGGUGGAGCCCACCCCAGCUCAAGGAGGCCUGCCUGCCUCUGUAGACUCCACCUCUGGGGGCAGGGCAUAGCCAAACAAAGGCAGCUGAAACCUCUGCAGACUUAAAUGUCCCUAUCUGACAGCUUUGAAGAGAGUAGUGGUUCUCCCAGCACGCAGCUUGAGAUCUGAGAAUGGACAGACUGCCUCCUCAAGUGGGUCCCUGACCCACAAGUAGCUUAACUGGGAGGCAACCCCCAGUAGGGGCAGACUGACACCUCACACGGCCAGGCACUCCUCUGAGACAAAACUUCCACAGGAAUGAUCAGGCAGCAACAUUUGCUGUUCACCAAUAUCUGCUGUUCUGCAGCCUCCGCUGCUGAUACCCAGGCAAACAGGGUCUGGAGUGGACCUCCAGCAAACUCCAACAGACCUGCAGCUGAGGGUCCUGACUGUUAGAAGGAAAACUAACAAACAGAUAGGACAUCCACACCAAAACCCCAUCUGUACGUCACCAUCAUCAAAGACCAAAGGUAGAUAAAAUCACAAAGAUGGGGAAAAAACAGAGCAGAAAAACUGGAAACUCUAAAAAUCAGAGUGCCUCUCCUUCUCCAAAGGAAUGCAGCUCCUCACCAGCAGUGGAACAAAGCUGGAUGGAGAAUGACUUUGACGAGUUGAGAGAAGAAGGCUUCAGAUGAUCAAACUAGUCCGAGCUAAAGGAGGAAGUUCGAACCCAUGGCAAAGAAGUUAAAAACCUUGAAAAAAAAUUAGAUGAAUGGCUAACUAGAAUAACCAAUGCAGAGAAGUCCCUAAAGGACCUGAUGGAGCUGAAAACCACGGCACAAGAACUAUGUGACGAAUGCACAAGCCUCAGUAGCCGAUUCAAUCAACUGGAAGAAAGGGUAUCAGUGUUGGAAGAUCAAAUGAAUGAAAUGAAGUGAGAAGAGAAGUUUAGAGAAAAAAGAAUAACAAGAAAUGAACAAAGCCUCCAAGAAAUAUGGGACUAUGUGAAAAGACCAAAUCUACAUCUGAUUGGUGUACCUGAAAGUGACGGGGAGAAUGGAACCAAGUUGGAAAACACUCUGCAGGAUAUUAUCCAGGAGAACUUCCCCAAUCUAGCAAGGCAGGCCAACAUUCAAAUUAAGGAAAUACAGAGAACACCACAAAGAUACUCCUUGAGAAGAGCAACUCCAAGACACAUAAUUGUCAGAUUCACCAAAGUUGAAAUGAAGGAAAAAAUGUUAAGGGCAGCCAGAGAGAAAGGUUGGGUUACCCACAAAGGGAAGCCCAUCAGACUAACAGCUGAUCUCUUGGCAGAAACUCUACAAGCCAGAAGAGAGUGGGGGCCAAUAUUCAACAUUCUUAAAGAAAAGAAUUUUCAACCCAGAAUUUCAUAUCCAGCCAAACUAAGCUUCAUAAGUGAAGGAGAAAUAAAAUCCUUUACAGACAAGCAAAUGCUGAGAGAUUUUGUCACCACCAGGCCUGCCCUAAAAGAGCUCCUGAAUGAAGCACUAAACAUGGAAAGGAACAACCGGUACCAGCCACUGCAAAAACAUGUCAAAUGGUAAAGACCAUUGAGGCUAGGAAGAAACUGCAUCAACUAACGAGCAAAAUAACCAGCUAACAUCAUAAUGACAGGAUCAAAUUCACACAUAAUAAUAUUAACCUUAAAUGUAAAUGGGCUAAAUGCCCCAAUUAAAAGACACAGACUGGCAAAUUGAAUAAAGAGUCAAGACUCAUCAGUGUGCUGUAUUCAGGAAACCCAUCUCACGUGCAGAGACACACAUAGGCUCAAAAUAAAGGGAUGGAGGAAGAUCUACCAAGCAAAUGGAAAACAAAAAAAGGCAGGGGUUGCAAUCCCAGUCUCUGACAAAGCAGACUUUAAACCAACAAAGAUCAAAAGAGACAAAGAAGGCCAUUACAUAAUGGUAAAGGGAUCAAUUCAACAAGAAGAGCUAACUAUCCUAAACAUAUAUGCACCCAACACAGGAGCACCCAGAUUCAUAAAGCAAGUCCUUAGAGACCUACAAAGAGACUUAGACUCCCACACAAUAAUAAUGGGAGACUUUAACACCCCACUGUCAACAUUAGACAGAUCAACGAGACAGAAAGUUAACAAGGAUAUCCAGGAAUUGAACUCAGCUCUGCACCAAGCAUACCUAAUAGACAUCUACAGAACUCUCCACCCCAAAUCAACAGAAUAUACAUUCUUUUCAGCACCACACCACACCUAUUCCAAAACUGACCACAUAGUUGGAAGUAAAGCACUCCUCAGCAAAUGUAAAAGAACAGAAAUUAUAACAAACUGUCUCUCAGACCACAGUGCAAUCAAACUAGAACUCAGGAUUAAGAAACUCACUCAAAACCGCUCAAGUACAUGGAAACUGAACAACCUGCUCCUGAAUGACUACUGGGUAUAUAACAAAAUGAAGGCAGAAAUAAAGAUGUUAUUUGAAACCAAUGAGAACAAAGACACAACAUACCAGAAUCUCUGGGACACAUUCAAAGCAGUGUGUAGAGGGAAAUUUAUAGCACUAAAUGCCCACAAGAGAAAGCAGGAAAGAUCUAAAAUUGACACCCUAACAUCACAAUUAAAAGAACUAGAGAAGCAAGAGCAAACACAUUCAAAAGCUGGCAGAAGGCAACAAAUAACUAAGAUCAGAGCAGAACUGAAGGAAAUAGAGACACAAAAAACCCUUCAAAAAAUCAAUGAGUCCAGGAGCUGGUUUUUUGAAAAGAUCAACAAAAUUGAUAGACCACUAGCAAGACUAAUAAAGAAGAAAAGAGAGAAGAAUCAAAUAGACGCAAUAAAAAAAUGAUAGAGGGGAUAUCACCACCGAUCCCACAGAAAUACAAACUACCAUCAGAGAAUACUAUAAACACCUCUAUGCAAAUAAACUAGAAAAUCUAGAAGAAAUGGAUAAAUUCCUCGACACAUACACCCUCCCAAGACUAAACCAGGAAGAAGUUGAAUCUCUGAAUAGACCAAUAACAGGCUCUGAAAUUGAGGCAAUAAUUAAUAACUUACCAACCAAAAAGAGUCCAGGACCAGAUGGAUUCACAGCCAAAUUCUACCAGAGAUACAAGGAGGAGCUGGUACCAUUCCUUCUGAAACUAUUCCAAUCAAUAGAAAAAGAGGGAAUCCUCCCUAACUCAUUUUAUGAGGCCAGCAUCAUCCUGAUACCAAAGCCUGGCAGAGACACAACAAAAAAAGAGAAUUUUAGACCAAUAUCCCUGAUGAACAUCGAUGCAAAAAUCCUCAACAAAAUACUGGCAAACCAAAUCCAGCAGCACAUCAAAAAGCUUAUCCACCAUGAUCAAGUGGGCUUCAUCCCUGGGAUGCAAGGCUGGUUCAAGAUACGCAAAUCAAUAAAUAUAAUCCAUCAUAUAAACAGAACCAACGACAAAAACUACAUGAUUAUCUCAAUAGAUGCAGAAGACCUUUGACAAAAUUCAACAACGCUUCAUGCUAAAAACUCUCAAUAAAUUAGGUAUUGAUGGGACGUAUCUCAAAAUAAUAAGAGCUAUCUAUGACAAACCCACAGCCAAUAUCAUACUGAAUGGAGAAAAACUGGAAGCAUUCCUUUUGAAAUCUGGCACAAGACAGGGAUGCCCUCUCUCACCACUCCUAGUCAACAUAGUGUUGGAAGUUCUGGCCAGGGCAAUCAGGCAGGAGAAGGAAAUAAAGGGUAUUCAAUUAGGAAAAGAGGAAGUCAAAUUGUCCCUGUUUGCAGAUGACAUGAUUGUAUAUCUAGAAAACCCCAUUGUCUCAGCCCAAAAUCUCCUUAAGCUGAUAGGCAACUUCAGCAAAGUCUCAGGAUACAAAAUCAAUGUGCGAAAAUCACAAGCAUUCCUAUACGCCAAUAACAGACAAACAGAGAGCCAAAUCAUGAGUGAACUCCCAUUCACAACUGCUUCAAAGAGAAUAAAAUACCUAGGAACCCAACUUACAAGGGAAGUGAAGGACCUCUUCAAGGAGAACUACAAACCACUGCUCAAUGACAUAAAAGAGGAUACAAACAAAUGGAAGAAAAUUCCAUGCUCAUGAGUAGGAAGAAUCAAUAUUGUGAAAAUGGCCAUACUGCCCAAGGUAACUUAUAGAUUCAAUGCCAUCCCCAUCAAGCUACCAUGACUUUCUUCACAGAAUUGGAAAAAACUACUUUAAAGUUCAUAUGGAACCAAAAAAGGGGCCGGAUUACCAAGUCAAUCCUAAGCCAAAAGCACAAAGCUGGAGGCAUCAUGCUACCUGACUUCAAACUAUACUACAAGGCUACAGUAACCAAAACAGCAUGGUACUGGUACCAAAACAGCAUGGUACUGGUACCAAAACAGAGAUACAGAUCAAUGGAACAGAACAGAGCCCUCAGCAAUAAUGCCACAUAUCUAUAACCAUGUGAUCUUUGACAAACCUGACAAAAACAAGAAAUGGGGAAAGGAUUCCCUAUUUAAUAAAUGGUGCUGGGAAAACUGGCUAGCCAUAUGUAGAAAGCUGAAACUGGAUCCUUUCCUUACAUCUUAUACAAAAAUUAAUUGAAGAUGGAUUAAAGACUUAAAUGUUAGACCUAAAACCAUAAAAACCCUAGAAGAAAACCUAGGCAAUACUAUUUAGGAAAAAGGCAUGGGCAAGGACUUCAUGUCUAAAACACCAAAAGCAAUGGCAACAAAAGCCAAAAUUGACAAAUGGGAUCUAAUUAAACUCAAGAGCUUCUGCACACCAAAAGAAACUACCAUCAGAGUGAACAGGCAACCUACAGAAUGGGAGAAAAUUUUUGCAAUCUACUCAUGUGACAAAGGGCUAAUAUCCAGAAUC
Molecule: long non-coding RNA, 5893 nt
Organism: Homo sapiens (human)
Lineage: Eukaryota; Metazoa; Chordata; Mammalia; Primates; Hominidae
Gene: OLMALINC
Product: oligodendrocyte maturation-associated long intergenic non-coding RNA
Source: Ensembl